AGAAUCAACGCUGGCGGCGUGCCUAACACAUGCAAGUCGAACGAGAAAGUGGAGCAAUCCAUGAGUACAGUGGCGACCGGGUGAGUAACACGUGACCAAUCUACCUUCGAGUGGGGAUAACUCCGGGAAACCGGGGCUAAUACCGCAUAACAUCUUUGGAAUGCAAAUUCCGUUGAUCAAAGGGGCAAUUCGCUUGAAGAGGAGGUCGCGGCUGAUUAGCUAGUUGGCGGGGUAAUGGCCCACCAAGGCGAAGAUCGGUAU
Molecule: ribosomal RNA, 261 nt
Filed under: uncultured bacterium
Lineage: Bacteria
Description: partial small subunit ribosomal RNA
Rfam family: Bacterial small subunit ribosomal RNA
Source: RNAcentral